AGAAGCAAGAGGUGUUUUACUGCUGACAUUAUUGGUUUUCUCCAUGUGUUGCUGGGUGGCCCAAGGACGAUACCUACCAACGAGAUCUGACAAAACAAGAAAAGAUCAAAUCAAAGAAAUAAUCCGAAUACUAUUAGACCUAAACAACGAGGAUGACCAGGAAUACAACAGACAGCAACUAGAGUACGACUACAGGCUCCCUCUACCAUUAAUUAAACGUACUGUUCCUGACAGCUUCAUCCGAAAGUGAUAGGUGAUUUCACUUUCAAUGGACGACAGGCCCUGAAGUACUAAUGUAUGCAUUUUGAAAAGUAAUGUUUAUCGUUCAGUUUCCCUUUAUACAGUAGUAGUAGAUAUAAAAAAAAAGCUUUGUCCUUACUACAUUUUUCCGUAAGUUUGUUUUGUGUAAAAAUAUUCAAUACUUUUUAAAAUCAGUAAUAGCUCUGAACAAAUAACGUGAAACAGCACCACCGAAUGCAAUUUCAGAAGUUAAUAUAUAAAAGUUCAAAAUAUAUUCCUAAUCAAAUACCAGAAAACUUUAGAUUUUAGUAACUAAGAAACAAUUCCCCUUAUAAAAUUAAGUAACACGGAUAAACAGUUUCAGAUUCGAAAAAAAAAUACGUUAUUAAAAUAAAAUAUUAAACUGAAUAAAAGUGGUUAUUUAAUUUUUGAAGAGCAACGUUCACAGUUGGGAAUACUUAAGAGUACUGCAUCAGUAAAAAAAAUGAAAUAAUAAAACAGGGGUAUUGAUGACAAUCGAAUCCAAUUCAAUGUAUGUUCACUCUGUUUAAUUAUCUUUUUAAUCUAGUUUUAUUGUUGUAAAAUGAAAA
Limulus polyphemus (Atlantic horseshoe crab) is the source of this 830-nucleotide long non-coding RNA. RefSeq lists it as uncharacterized. The record is from RefSeq and is a predicted model, not a curated record. Lineage: Eukaryota; Metazoa; Arthropoda; Merostomata; Xiphosura; Limulidae. The transcript is spliced from 2 exons.